RNAcentral lists this ribosomal RNA (231 nucleotides) under uncultured bacterium. Its description in RNAcentral is "partial 16S ribosomal RNA". It matches the Rfam family "Bacterial small subunit ribosomal RNA", at positions 334 to 562 of the family's 1533-position model. The record is from RNAcentral.
UGCACCUACGGGGGGCAGCAGUGAGGAAUAUUGGUCAAUGGCCGGAAGGCUGAACCAGCCAAGCCGCGUGAAGGACGAAGGUGCCAAGCAUUGUAAACUUCUUUUGUCAAGGGACAAAAUCAGGCUCGAGAGCCUGACCGAGGGUACUUGAAGAAAAAGCAUCGGCUACCUCCGUGCCAGCAGCCGCGGAUAUACGGAGGAUGCGAGCGUUACCCGGAUUUAUUGGGUUUA